This 962-nucleotide ribosomal RNA is filed under the name Curtobacterium herbarum. RNAcentral's name for it is "bacterial SSU rRNA". It matches the Rfam family "Bacterial small subunit ribosomal RNA", at positions 52 to 1017 of the family's 1533-position model. Lineage: Bacteria; Bacillati; Actinomycetota; Actinomycetes; Micrococcales; Microbacteriaceae. The record is from RNAcentral.
UCCAUGCAGUCGACGAUGAUCAGGAGCUUGCUCCUGUGAUUAGUGGCGAACGGGUGAGUAACACGUGAGUAACCUGCCCCUGACUCUGGGAUAAGCGUUGGAAACGACGUCUAAUACUGGAUAUGAUCACUGGUCGCAUGGCCUGGUGGUGGAAAGAUUUUUUGGUUGGGGAUGGACUCGCGGCCUAUCAGCUUGUUGGUGAGGUAAUGGCUCACCAAGGCGACGACGGGUAGCCGGCCUGAGAGGGUGACCGGCCACACUGGGACUGAGACACGGCCCAGACUCCUACGGGAGGCAGCAGUGGGGAAUAUUGCACAAUGGGCGAAAGCCUGAUGCAGCAACGCCGCGUGAGGGAUGACGGCCUUCGGGUUGUAAACCUCUUUUAGUAGGGAAGAAGGGAGCUUCGGUUCUUGACGGUACCUGCAGAAAAAGCACCGGCUAACUACGUGCCAGCAGCCGCGGUAAUACGUAGGGUGCAAGCGUUGUCCGGAAUUAUUGGGCGUAAAGAGCUCGUAGGCGGUUUGUCGCGUCUGCUGUGAAAUCCCGAGGCUCAACCUCGGGCUUGCAGUGGGUACGGGCAGACUAGAGUGCGGUAGGGGAGAUUGGAAUUCCUGGUGUAGCGGUGGAAUGCGCAGAUAUCAGGAGGAACACCGAUGGCGAAGGCAGAUCUCUGGGCCGUAACUGACGCUGAGGAGCGAAAGCAUGGGGAGCGAACAGGAUUAGAUACCCUGGUAGUCCAUGCCGUAAACGUUGGGCGCUAGAUGUAGGGACCUUUCCACGGUUUCUGUGUCGUAGCUAACGCAUUAAGCGCCCCGCCUGGGGAGUACGGCCGCAAGGCUAAAACUCAAAGGAAUUGACGGGGGCCCGCACAAGCGGCGGAGCAUGCGGAUUAAUUCGAUGCAACGCGAAGAACCUUACCAAGGCUUGACAUACACCGGAAACGGCCAGAGAUGGUCGCCCCC